This 299-nucleotide unclassified non-coding RNA is filed under the name plant metagenome. Its description in RNAcentral is "partial contains small subunit ribosomal RNA, internal transcribed spacer 1, and 5.8S ribosomal RNA". The record is from RNAcentral.
UUUCCGUAGGUGAACCUGCGGAAGGAUCAUUAUCGAAUUUCGAGGGGAAGGAAGAUGAGGAGUGGAGACUGUCGCUGGCUUUCCCGCCUGGGAAGCAUGUGCACGCCUUGCUUUUCGUUGACCUUUCUCUUACUCUCACACCUGUGCACCCAUUGUAGGUCCUCGAAAGAGGAUCUAUGUUUUUAUCAUCACACGCAUCGUAUGUCCAUAGAAUGUAACAUGAUCGUCGAUCGACCUCGCGGUCGGGUGGCGGUCUAAAUAAAUAAAUACAACUUUUAACAAUGGAUCUCUUGGCUCUG